Molecule: ribosomal RNA, 433 nt
Filed under: uncultured bacterium
Lineage: Bacteria
Description: partial 16S ribosomal RNA
Rfam family: Bacterial small subunit ribosomal RNA
Source: RNAcentral
AACGAACGCUGGCGGCAUGCCUAACACAUGCAAGUCGAACGAGACCUUCGGGUCUAGUGGCGCACGGGUGCGUAACGCGUGGGAACCUGCCCUUAGGUUCGGAAUAACUCCCCGAAAGGGGUGCUAAUACCGGAUAAUGUCUUCGGACCAAAGAUUUCUCGCCUUUGGGUGGGCCCGCGUUGGAUUAGCUGGUUGGUAGGGUAAAAGCCUACCAAGGCGACGAUCCAUAGCUGGUCGGAGAGGAUGAUCAGCCACACUGGGACUGAGACACGGCCCAGACUGGUACGGGAGGGAGCAGUGGGGUAUAUUGGACGAGGGGCGAAAGCCUGAUACAGCAAUGCCGCGGGAGUGAUGAAGGCCUUAGGGUUGUAAAGCUCUUUUACACGGGAUGAUAAUGACAGUACCGGGAGAAUAAGCUCCGGCUAACUCCGUG